Molecule: ribosomal RNA, 216 nt
Filed under: uncultured fungus
Lineage: Eukaryota; Fungi
Description: partial small subunit ribosomal RNA
Rfam family: Eukaryotic small subunit ribosomal RNA (bases 93-216)
Source: RNAcentral
GCGCGGCUGACUGGUCCGCUUUACGGCGUGUACUGGUCUCGGCCGUGCUUUUCCUCUUGGGCCGCUCGAGAGUGCUUCAUUGUGCGCUCGGGAUGGCUUAGGACUUUUACUUUGAAAAAAUUAGAGUGUUCAAAGCAGGCAUUUGCUCGGAUACAUUAGCAUGGAAUAAUGGAAUAGGGCUGCUGCCCCAUUUUGUUGGUUUCUGGGACCGUAGCA